CACACGAGAUUGAUCAGGACCCUUCCCAAUUCAAUAUGGUGCUGCAGCCUUCUUCGCCAGCUUGCUACCGAUCAUCCUUCGCAAGAAUGGAUUGCACAAUUACUUGUAUGCCUUUAAGACCUCUACUAAGACUAUUAUAGGAACCUUUCCUCAUAAGAAUAUGCCACACAAAAAUCAGAUUUGAUGUUCAACAUAUGAACAAUCGGAUUUUAGGACAAGCAUCACAUACUUUCCUUUUUCUCUUCCCUUCUUUUCUAUUUUUCUCUCCCUCUUUUCCUUGUCUUUAUCCAGAUUUUUUUCGACCAUUUUUUUCUCUAUUUCCAUGCCUAUUAUUAGCCCAAAUUCGCACACUGAACCUAGGUCUAGCACCUCCUUUUUAUAGGAAGGAAGGGGCGACACCAUGGGACGCCAACUCUUGGCGUCCCUUAUAUAUUACAUGCCAAAAAUAAAUUUUUAGCAUGGAAUACAAGGGGAUGGCAUGGAAUAUGCAGUGGUUUACUAGCAGGACUCUUCCUUUGCUAAGAAAAAAUAUAACGCCAACUCUUGACACGUGGGAAAAGGAAUGGCAUGAGAAACCAAAGAGUCUAUGACAUUAAGGACUCUUCCAUAUCAUCCAAAAUAUGCGGUGUCCCUUAAUGAAUUUUGGCAUGUGAAUUUCUUGCCAGAGAAGGACUCUUCCUUCUCUUUUGCGCCCAUAAUCUCAAGAGCCAUCUCAUGAAAUGAGGAAUUAAGAAAUGCAUGGAAUAAAUGGCAUGGAAUUUAAAAGGAGUGGAAGAGAAGGACUCCUCUUAACGCCAUUUAUUUUUGAGUGUGUCAUUAAUUUUGUGCAUGUGGAGUUGGCAUGGAGGAGGUUAAUCUGAUAUGAAACUCUUCCAUAAAAAUCAGAUCAGCCAUCUGUUUAAUUAUAGGUUCAAACACAAUCACAUUAGGUUAAGACUACAAGUCAAAGGUUAGCACAAACACCUUUGCACUGAACCUAAUUGAGAACUUGGGUUAAUUCAUGUGCGAGUAAUUCAAUUAACCCAUUGGAUUUACAAUAAAUCCAAAUAGAUUGGACCAAGACCAAAUUCUUAUUGUGUGUGACCCAUUGAGUUUCAAAUUUAGCCAGUAG
Molecule: long non-coding RNA, 1111 nt
Filed under: Elaeis guineensis (African oil palm)
Lineage: Eukaryota; Viridiplantae; Streptophyta; Magnoliopsida; Arecales; Arecaceae
Description: long non-coding RNA (EGUI_LNC043737)
Source: RNAcentral